Molecule: ribosomal RNA, 366 nt
Filed under: uncultured eukaryote
Lineage: Eukaryota
Description: partial 18S ribosomal RNA
Rfam family: Eukaryotic small subunit ribosomal RNA
Source: RNAcentral
CAAUAGCGUAUAUUAAAGUUGUUGCAGUUAAAAAGCUCGUAGUUGAAUUUCUGGUGGGCGCGCCGGUCUUCCAAGUGUUGUACUGGGCGCAGUCCGCCAUCCUUGUGGAGAGGGCUCGCAUUGAGUUGCGUGUCGGAUCUGCAUCAUUUACUGUGAAAAAAUUAGAGUGUUUAAAGCAGGCUGUCGCUUGAAUACAUUAGCAUGGAAUAAUAAGAUAGGACUUCGGCCUAUUUUGUUGGUUGCGAACCGAGGUAAUGAUUAAUAGGGAUAGUUGGGGGUAUUCAUAUUUAAUUGUCAGAGGUGAAAUUCUUGGAUUUAUGAAAGAUGAACAACUGCGAAAGCAUUUACCAAGGAUGUUUUCAUUAA